UACGAAGGGUGCUAGCGUUGUUCGGAAUUACUGGGCGUAAAGGGCGCGUAGGCGGUUAUAUAAGUCAGAUGUGAAAGCCCCGAGCUUAACUUGGGAACAGCAUUUGAUACUGUGUGACUAGAGUGUGAGAGAGGAAAGUGGAAUUGCGAGUGUAGAGGUGAAAUUCGUAGAUAUUCGCAAGAACACCAGUGGCGAAGGCGACUUUCUGGCUCACAACUGACGCUAAGGCGCGAAAGCGUGGGGAGCAAACAGG
This 253-nucleotide ribosomal RNA is filed under the name uncultured prokaryote. RNAcentral's name for it is "partial 16S ribosomal RNA". It matches the Rfam family "Bacterial small subunit ribosomal RNA", at positions 524 to 776 of the family's 1533-position model. The record is from RNAcentral.